UGAGUUUGAUCCUGGCUCAGAUUGAACGCUGCGGCAGGCCUAACACAUGCAAGUCGAGCGGAUGACAGGAGCNUUGCUCCUGAAUUCAGCGGCGGACGGGUGAGUAAUGCCUAGGAAUCUGCCUGGUAGUGGGGGACAACGUUUCGAAAGGAACGCUAAUACCGCAUACGUCCUACGNGAGAAAGCAGGGGACCUUCGGGCCUUGCGCUAUCAGAUGAGCCUAGGUCGGAUUAGCUAGUUGGUGAGGUAAUGGCUCACCAAGGCGACGAUCCNGUAACUGGUCUGAGAGGAUGAUCAGUCACACUGGAACUGAGACACGGUCCAGACUCCUACGGGAGGCAGCAGUGGGGAAUAUUGGACAAUGGGCGAAAGCCUGAUCCAGCCAUGCCGCGUGUGUGAAGAAGGUCUUCGGAUUGUAAAGCACUUUAAGUUGGGAGGAAGGGCAUUAACCUAAUACGUUAGUGUUUUGACGUUACCGACAGAAUAAGCACCGGCUAA
Molecule: ribosomal RNA, 498 nt
Filed under: Pseudomonas putida
Lineage: Bacteria; Pseudomonadati; Pseudomonadota; Gammaproteobacteria; Pseudomonadales; Pseudomonadaceae
Description: bacterial SSU rRNA
Rfam family: Bacterial small subunit ribosomal RNA
Source: RNAcentral